GGAGACGUGUCCGAGCUGGCUUAAGGAGCACGAUUGGAAAUCGUGUGCAUGGGGAAACUCGUGUCCAGGGUUCGAAUCCCUGCGUCUCCGCCA
This 93-nucleotide transfer RNA is filed under the name Candidatus Cloacimonadota bacterium. RNAcentral's name for it is "tRNA-Ser". It matches the Rfam family "tRNA". From Rfam's summary of the family: Transfer RNA (tRNA) molecules are approximately 80 nucleotides in length. Their secondary structure includes four short double-helical elements and three loops (D, anti-codon, and T loops). Lineage: Bacteria; Pseudomonadati; Candidatus Cloacimonadota. RNAcentral also lists the same sequence under 1 other name. The record is from RNAcentral.